Molecule: ribosomal RNA, 776 nt
Filed under: uncultured Neocallimastigales
Lineage: Eukaryota; Fungi; Neocallimastigomycota; Neocallimastigomycetes; Neocallimastigales
Description: partial large subunit ribosomal RNA
Rfam family: Eukaryotic large subunit ribosomal RNA
Source: RNAcentral
GUACACGCUGUGACUAGCAUAUCAAUAAGCGGAGGAAAAGAAACUAACAAGGAUUCCCCUAGUAACGGCGAGUGAAGCGGGAAGAGCUCAAAUUUGAAAUCUUAAAGGGUUUCCCUUUACGAAUUGUAGCUUUAAAGAAGUGUUUUCUGUUGAGGUUUUGGUAAAAGUUCUUUGGAAUAGGACAUCAUAGAGGGUGAGAAUCCCGUAUUUGACCUUUACUUUCAACUUUGUGAUACACUCUUCAAAGAGUCGGAUUGUUUGGGAAUGCAGUCCAAAAUGGGUGGUAAAUUUCAUCUAAAGCUAAAUAUUGGCGAGAGACCGAUAGCGAACAAGUACCGUGAGGGAAAGAUGAAAAGAACUUUGAAAAGAGAGUUAAACAGUACGUGAAAUUGUCAAAAGGGAAGCGUUUGACACCAGUGUUGUUUUUCUGAAAAUCAAUUAAAGAACUGUUUAUGCUAAGCUGUUUAGACUUUAUCAGCUAACUGUUUAGUUUUGAGCUUUUCUUUAAUGCACUUUUCAGUUAACAGGUCAACAUCAAUUUCUUUUGCUGUAAAAAAGCUUGAGGAAGGUGGCUUGAGAUUCGUCUUAAGUGUUUAUAGCCUCUUGCCUAUGCAGUCGGAGAGAUUGAGGUCUGCAGCGUAGAUCCUUCGGGGCUAAAUGCAUUUGUGCUAAGUUAUAGCAUUUUAUAGACAACUUGUUGACUAUGAUUUGUCUUGUAGCUUACUCGCUUAUGUUAUUUUACCUACGCUUAGGAUGUUGAAGUCAUCGUAUCGCGC